AUAUUAAUAAGCGGAGGAAAAGAAACUAACAAGGAUUCCCCUAGUAACGGCGAGUGAAGCGGGAAGAGCUCAAAUUUGAAAUCUCCCUGGUACCCAGGGCGAAUUGUAGUUGGUAGAAGCGUUUUCGGGGGUCGGCUCGGGCUUAAGUCGUCUGGAACGACGCGUCAUGGAGGGUGAGAAUCCCGUCUGUGGUCUGAAGUCCGAUCCUGUGUGAUGCGCUCUCAAAGAGUCGGGUUGUUUGGGAUUGCAGCCCUAAAUAGGUGGUAAAUACCAUCUAAAGCUAAAUACUGGCAAGAGACCGAUAGCGCACAAGUA
This 315-nucleotide ribosomal RNA is filed under the name uncultured fungus. RNAcentral describes it as "partial large subunit ribosomal RNA". It matches the Rfam family "Eukaryotic large subunit ribosomal RNA", at positions 40 to 350 of the family's 3401-position model. The record is from RNAcentral. Lineage: Eukaryota; Fungi.